UACGUAGGGUGCAAGCGUUGUCCGGAAUUAUUGGGCGUAAAGAGCUCGUAGGCGGUUUGUCGCGUCUGCUGUGAAAACCCGAGGCUCAACCUCGGGCCUGCAGUGGGUACGGGCAGACUAGAGUGCGGUAGGGGAGAUUGGAAUUCCUGGUGUAGCGGUGGAAUGCGCAGAUAUCGGGAGGAACACCCGUAGCGAAGGCGGCCGACUGGACCAUACCUGACGCUGAGGCGCGAAGGCCAGGGGAGCGAACGGG
This 253-nucleotide ribosomal RNA is filed under the name uncultured bacterium. RNAcentral describes it as "partial 16S ribosomal RNA". It matches the Rfam family "Bacterial small subunit ribosomal RNA", at positions 524 to 776 of the family's 1533-position model. The record is from RNAcentral.